GAUGAACGCUGGCGGCGUGCCUAAUACAUACAAGUCGAGCGAACAGACGAGGAGCUUGCUCCUCUGACGUUAGCGGCGGACGGGUGAGUAACACGUGGAUAACCUACCUAUAAGACUGGGAUAACUUCGGGAAACCGGAGCUAAUACCGGAUAAUAUAUUGAACCGCAUGGUUCAAUAGUGAAAGACGGUUUUGCUGUCACUUAUAGAUGGAUCCGCGCCGCAUUAGCUAGUUGGUAAGGUAACGGCUUACCAAGGCAACGAUGCGUAGCCGACCUGAGAGGGUGAUCGGCCACACUGGAACUGAGACACGGUCCAGACUCCUACGGUAGGCAGCAGUAGGGAAUCUUCCGCAAUGGGCGAAAGCCUGACGGAGCAACGCCGCGUGAGUGAUGAAGGUCUUCGGAUCGUAAAACUCUGUUAUUAGGGAAGAACAAAUGUGUAAGUAACUAUGCACGUCUUGACGGUACCUAAUCAGAAAGCCACGGCUAACUACGUG
RNAcentral lists this ribosomal RNA (497 nucleotides) under uncultured bacterium. Its description in RNAcentral is "partial 16S ribosomal RNA". It matches the Rfam family "Bacterial small subunit ribosomal RNA", at positions 28 to 507 of the family's 1533-position model. The record is from RNAcentral.